GACGAACGCUGGCGGCGUGCUUAACACAUGCAAGUCGAACGGUGACGAGGAGCUUGCUCCUCUGAUCAGUGGCGAACGGGUGAGUAACACGUGAGCAACCUGCCCCAGACUCUGGGAUAACAGUUGGAAACAGCUGCUAAUACCGGAUACGAGACGGAGAGGCAUCUCUACCGUCUGGAAAGUUUUUCGGUCUGGGAUGGACUCGCGGCCUAUCAGCUAGUUGGUGAGGUAAUGGCUCACCAAGGCGACGACGGGUAGCCGGCCUGAGAGGGCGACCGGCCACACUGGGACUGAGACACGGCCCAGACUCCUACGGGAGGCAGCAGUGGGGAAUAUUGCACAAUGGGCGAAAGCCUGAUGCAGCGACGCCGCGUGAGGGAUGACGGCCUUCGGGCUGUAACCUCUUCAGCAGGGAGAAGCGAAAGUGACGGUACCUGCAGAAGAAGCACCGGCUAACUACGUGCCAGCAGCCGCGGUAAUCAACGG
This 486-nucleotide ribosomal RNA is filed under the name uncultured bacterium. RNAcentral's name for it is "bacterial SSU rRNA". It matches the Rfam family "Bacterial small subunit ribosomal RNA", at positions 28 to 528 of the family's 1533-position model. The record is from RNAcentral.